GUGUCCUACGGGGCGCAGCAGUGGGGAAUAUUGCACAAUGGGGGAAACCCUGAUGCAGCGACGCCGCGUGAGUGAAGAAGUAUUUCGGUAUGUAAAGCUCUAUCAGCAGGGAAGAAAAUGACGGUACCUGACUAAGAAGCCCCGGCUAACUACGUGCCAGCAGCCGCGGUAAUACGUAGGGGGCAAGCGUUAUCCGGAUUUACUGGGUGUAAGGGAGCGUAGACGGCGCGGCAAGUCUGAAGUGAAAG
Molecule: ribosomal RNA, 248 nt
Filed under: uncultured bacterium
Lineage: Bacteria
Description: partial 16S ribosomal RNA
Rfam family: Bacterial small subunit ribosomal RNA
Source: RNAcentral